This 490-nucleotide ribosomal RNA is filed under the name uncultured bacterium. Its description in RNAcentral is "partial 16S ribosomal RNA". It matches the Rfam family "Bacterial small subunit ribosomal RNA", at positions 30 to 507 of the family's 1533-position model. The record is from RNAcentral.
AUUGAACGCUGGCGGCAGGCCUAACACAUGCAAGUCGAACGGUAACAGGAAGAAGCUUGCUUCUUUGCUGACGAGUGGCGGACGGGUGAGUAAUGUCUGGGAAACUGCCUGAUGGAGGGGGAUAACUACUGGAAACGGUAGCUAAUACCGCAUAACGUCGCAAGACCAAAGAGGGGGACCUUCGGGCCUCUUGCCAUCGGAUGUGCCCAGAUGGGAUUAGCUUGUUGGUGGGGUAACGGCUCACCAAGGCGACGAUCCCUAGCUGGUCUGAGAGGAUGACCAGCCACACUGGAACUGAGACACGGUCCAGACUCCUACGGGAGGCAGCAGAGGGGAAUAUUGCACAAUGGGCGCAAGCCUGAUGCAGCCAUGCCGCGUGUAAGAAGAAGGCCUUCGGGUUGUAAAGUACUUUCAGCGGGGAGGAAGGGAGUAAAGUUAAUACCUUUGCUCAUUGACGUUACCCGCAGAAGAAGCACCGGCUAACUCCGUG